RNAcentral lists this transfer RNA (69 nucleotides) under Plesiops nakaharae. RNAcentral describes it as "tRNA-Phe". It matches the Rfam family "tRNA". Rfam says of the family: Transfer RNA (tRNA) molecules are approximately 80 nucleotides in length. Their secondary structure includes four short double-helical elements and three loops (D, anti-codon, and T loops). The record is from RNAcentral. Lineage: Eukaryota; Metazoa; Chordata; Actinopteri; Plesiopidae.
GCCAGCAUAGCUUAAUUAAAGCAUGACACUGAAGAUGUUAAGAUGGACCUUAAACCAGUCCUGCAAGCA